Tachyglossus aculeatus (Australian echidna) is the source of this 138-nucleotide small nucleolar RNA. The record is from RefSeq and is a predicted model, not a curated record. NCBI's taxonomy places the organism in Eukaryota, Metazoa, Chordata, Mammalia, Monotremata, Tachyglossidae.
CAACUCUCAGAGUUUCACCUGGAGAGUUUCCAGUCCUCUACCAGUCUCGACUACGGGAGGGAGAGUCAAGCAGAGGCCUACCCAUUCCAUUCCUAGCUUGCCCAGUGGCUAGCGAGUCGAAGGAAAUCUGCUACAAGU